Pseudopipra pipra is the source of this 451-nucleotide long non-coding RNA. RefSeq lists it as uncharacterized. The record is from RefSeq and is a predicted model, not a curated record. Lineage: Eukaryota; Metazoa; Chordata; Aves; Passeriformes; Pipridae. The transcript has 4 exons.
UUAAAGUUAGGUCAGUGUUUGUUUGUGCAGGUUGUCUUUGGACCCCAGAGGGCUUGUCUAAGGAGAAAUUAGAAUUGCACAGCAGCUAAAGUCCCCCUGUAUAUAUGGCUGACUUUGGUAACUCAUUUCUUUGCAGUGUCAGAGGGACUGGAUGUAAAGCAGAGAUGAACAGAAGAGGCUGGAGGAGCACAGUCAGAAGAUGCAGAGCCCUCAGCCCAGCAGAUGACAGGCACCAGAGGGAAGGUGAGCCUGGUGAGCAAGGCAAUGCACCGACUUCUAACAUACAGUCCAACGUGACGGGGACCCUGCCUGAGACGUACGAAGCCUCACAGGGCUGAAGCCAACUCACAGUGAGGUGACGGACACGGUUUGGUCCUCUGGAGCUGUCCUUGUAGGUAAUCUCCGAGUAUUGAAAGGAUCAGCAAUGAAGGAUUGAGCUUUUUUGAUUGCA